AACGAACGCUGGCGGCAUGCCUAACACAUGCAAGUCGAACGAGACCUUCGGGUCUAGUGGCGCACGGGUGCGUAACGCGUGGGAACCUGCCCUUAGGUUCGGAAUAACUCCCCGAAAGGGGUGCUAAUACCGGAUAAUGUCUUCGGACCAAAGAUUUAUCGCCUUUGGAUGGGCCCGAGUUGGAUUAGCUAGUUGGUAGGGUAAAAGCCUACCAAGGCGACGAUCCAUAGCUGGUCUGAGAGGAUGAUCAGCCACACUGGGACUGAGACACGGCCCAGACUCCUACGGGAGGCAGCAGUGGGGAAUAGUGGACAAUGGGCGAAAGCCUGAUCCAGCAAUGCCGCGUAAGUGAUGAAGGCCUUAGGGUUGUAAAGCUCUUUUACCCGGGAUGAUAAUGACAGUACCGGGAGAAUAAGCGCCGGCUAACUCCGUG
This 433-nucleotide ribosomal RNA is filed under the name uncultured bacterium. RNAcentral's name for it is "partial 16S ribosomal RNA". It matches the Rfam family "Bacterial small subunit ribosomal RNA", at positions 29 to 507 of the family's 1533-position model. The record is from RNAcentral.